UUAUGUGGCCUUUUUAUUGGGUUUAACGAUGGAGUACAAUGUGUUCAUUUGAUGUUUUUAGCUGAGAUUGUGAUCAAUUUCAUUUUGUGGAUUUUCAGGUUUUGCAAGAUGAUAGUAGUGUAUGAGAGCGUCAAGAGGAGGCUGUGAGUAGAAGGCGGUUCUUUGCAGGCUAGACAAGCAAAAGUUCCCUCUUUGGACUUGCUCCACUUGAAGCAGUGCUAUUUAAUAUUGAUAGAACUCCAUGUGAUUUAGAUCCCAUUCAUUUCAAUGCCUUCCACAAAAUGCUUCCAUAGUUUGUGCAAGAUGUUAACAAUGUACAAGAGAAUCCAGAAGAGGCUAUGAGUAGAAGGAGGUUCUUUGCAGGUAUUGUGCUACAAAUUUCAAGUGGAACCAAGUGUUAUUCUAUUGAGUUGUAGGUAUUCUGCUACAAAUUUCAAGUGGAACCAAGUGUUAUUCUACUAAGAUUUGUAGGUGUUGUGACAUAAAUGGCAAUACAGUUUAUUUUUGUACU
Molecule: long non-coding RNA, 511 nt
Organism: Prunus dulcis (almond)
Lineage: Eukaryota; Viridiplantae; Streptophyta; Magnoliopsida; Rosales; Rosaceae
Exons: 4
Source: RefSeq, a predicted model, not a curated record